CCGCCAUUAGCUCAUCGGGAUAGAGCGCAGCCUUCGAAGCUGGUUGCGCGGGGUUCGAGUUCUCGAUGGCGGUCCA
This 76-nucleotide transfer RNA is filed under the name Shigella sp. FC1544. Its description in RNAcentral is "tRNA-Arg". It matches the Rfam family "tRNA". Rfam says of the family: Transfer RNA (tRNA) molecules are approximately 80 nucleotides in length. Lineage: Bacteria; Pseudomonadati; Pseudomonadota; Gammaproteobacteria; Enterobacterales; Enterobacteriaceae. The record is from RNAcentral.